RNAcentral lists this ribosomal RNA (497 nucleotides) under uncultured bacterium. RNAcentral describes it as "partial 16S ribosomal RNA". It matches the Rfam family "Bacterial small subunit ribosomal RNA", at positions 28 to 507 of the family's 1533-position model. The record is from RNAcentral.
GAUGAACGCUGGCGGCGUGCCUAAUACAUGCAAGUCGAGCGAACAGACGAGGAGCUUGCUCCUCUGACGUUAGCGGCGGACGGGUGAGUAACACGUGGAUAACCUACCUAUAAGACUGGGAUAACUUCGGGAAACCGGAGCUAAUACCGGAUAAUAUAUUGAACCGCAUGGUUCAAUAGUGAAAGACGGUUUUGCUGUCACUUAUAGAUGGAUCCGCGCCGCAUUAGCUAGUUGGUAAGGUAACGGCUUACCAAGGCAACGAUGCGUAGCCGCCCUGAGAGGGUGAUCGGCCACACUGGAACUGAGACACGGUCCAGACUCCUACGGGAGGCAGCAGUAGGGAAUCCUCCGCAAUGGGCGAAAGCCUGACGGAGCAACGCCGCGUGAGUGAUGAAGGUCUUCGGAUCGUAAAACUCUGUUAUUAGGGAAGAACAAAUGUGUAAGUAACUAUGCACGUCUUGACGGUACCUAAUCAGAAAGCCACGGCUAACUACGUG